AAUUAUCUUCAGGGCAGGGUGCAAAUCCCUACCGGCGGUAAAGCCCGCGAGCCGUAAGGCAUGAUUCGGUGAAACUCCGAGGCCGACAGUAAAGUCUGGAUGAAAGAAGGUAGAA
RNAcentral lists this non-coding RNA (115 nucleotides) under Clostridium amylolyticum. RNAcentral describes it as "FMN sequence". It matches the Rfam family "FMN riboswitch aptamer (RFN element)". Rfam says of the family: The RFN element is a highly conserved domain that is found frequently in the 5'-untranslated regions of prokaryotic mRNAs that encode for flavin mononucleotide (FMN) biosynthesis and transport proteins. Lineage: Bacteria; Bacillati; Bacillota; Clostridia; Eubacteriales; Clostridiaceae. The record is from Rfam by way of RNAcentral.